Ipomoea triloba (trilobed morning glory) is the source of this 938-nucleotide long non-coding RNA. RefSeq lists it as uncharacterized. The transcript has 5 exons. The record is from RefSeq and is a predicted model, not a curated record. Lineage: Eukaryota; Viridiplantae; Streptophyta; Magnoliopsida; Solanales; Convolvulaceae.
UCGCGUCAUUCCUUCUCUCUCGAUUCACCGCUUGUCUCUCGCCUCACUCCUGAAUCUCUCUAUCUCCGUCCUCCAAUCUGUCAACAACCCUAAAUCCUACAAUUAUUGAAACUGUUUUUCUUUCUAGAUCAACUAAUGAUGUAUUUCAGAGACGUAAUCGCGAUGCCAAUUCUGAUUUAGUCUUUGAACAUCAACCCUAGGUCUAGGUUUCGUAAUUUCCAUGGAUUAAAAGCUCAGUUCUGGAAUUUUGGAGUAGCGAUCAUCGUCUUCAGUUCAUAAAAUUACAAUGAUUGCACCGUUGAUUUGAGGAAGCAGUCGAAAAUCUUAACUGAGAUAAAGCAGGAAAAUUAAGAAGGCUAUUAUUAAGAGGCAUAUAAGAACUGAAUAGAAGAAGACAUCAUCAGGAGAAGGAUGUGUUCCUUCCUUGCGCUAAUAGUCAAGAUUGGAUGUGUUUCUUCCUCUUGUUAAUAGUCAAGAUUGAACCGACUGUGCUGCAUAAAAUUAUGGUAUGCAUUUGGAUUUUACCUAUAUUUGCAGCAAUGUGUUUCUCAUGCAGCACAUUGCAACCAAGCUUCUUUGUUCAUUGAAGCAUCCUCCCGACCUGUACAAAUACAUUUUUACAAACAGUUUGCAGUUGACUGAUUUCCGUGACAUAUUUUGAGGACAUAUUUUUGGUGCUGGUGUUAUUCAUUAUUGAUAAUCUCUGGGUGAGUCUCUAAAGGUCAUUCGACCUCUUUAUAUAGAGGUGAAUUGAAUCAGGAGCCUUAUAGAAAAACGAAAAGGCAAGCUUUGGAACAAUGAAGCAUCAGAUUAUGUUUAUUUAAAUUAAAUAAUUAACCACUUCAAAUUUGUAAUUAAGAAUGCAAACGAUUCAUUUUCCCAUAUUUAUUCGAAUAUUGUGCUUCUUGAAUGUUUAUUUAUUGGAAGUUUCACUGGCA